AUGGCAGAGGUGCAGGUCCUGGUGCUCCAUGGUCUAGGCCAUCUCCUGGGCCUCCUGGCAGCCAUCGUGGCUAAGCAGGUACUGCUGGGCCAGAAGGUGGUGGUCAUACGCUGCGAGGGCAUCAACAUUUCUGGCAAUUUCUACAGAAACUAGUUGAAGUACCUGGUUUUCCUCCACAAGCAAAUGAACACCAACUCUUCCGAGGCUCCUACCACUUCCGGGCCCUCUGCUGCAUGUUCUGGCGGACGCUGCGAGGCAUGCUGCCCCACAAGACCAAGCGAGGCCAGGCUGCCCUGGACCGCCUCAAGGUGUUUGACAUCAUCCCACCACCCUAAGAAAAGAAACAGCGGAUGACAGUUCCUGCUGCCCUCAAAGUCGUGCAUCUGAAGCCUAUGAGGAAGUCUGCCUAUCUGGGGCGCCUGGCUCACGAGGUUGGCUGGAAGUACCAGGCAGUGACAGCUACCCUGGAGGAGAAGAGGAAGGAGAAAGCCAAGAUCCACUACUGGAAGAAGAAACAGCUCAUGAGGCUACGGAAACUGGCAGAGAAGAACGUGGAGAAGAAAAUUGACAAAUACACAGAAGUCCUCAAGACCCACGGACUCCUGGUCUGAGCCCAAUAAAGACUGUUAAUUCCACAAAAAAAAAAAAAAAAAAAAAAAAAAA
RNA transcript from Mandrillus leucophaeus (drill), 663 nucleotides. It is a transcript of the gene named 60S ribosomal protein L13a-like, with no coding region annotated. Lineage: Eukaryota; Metazoa; Chordata; Mammalia; Primates; Cercopithecidae. The transcript has 2 exons. The record is from RefSeq and is a predicted model, not a curated record.